Molecule: ribosomal RNA, 229 nt
Filed under: uncultured bacterium
Lineage: Bacteria
Description: partial 16S ribosomal RNA
Rfam family: Bacterial small subunit ribosomal RNA
Source: RNAcentral
UGCGCAGGCGGCUUAUUAAGUCAGUGGUGAAAUCUCUCGGCUCAAUCGAGGAACUGCCAUUGAAACUGAUAAGCUUGAGUGUGGUUGUGGUAGGCGGAAUAUAGCAUGUAGCGGUGAAAUGCUUAGAUAUGCUAUAGAACACCGAUCGCGAAGGCAGCUUACCAAGCCAUUACUGACGCUCAUGCACGAAAGCGUGGGGAGCAAACAGGAUUAGAUACCCUGGUAGUCC